Non-coding RNA from Camellia sinensis, 336 nucleotides. The record is from RefSeq and is a predicted model, not a curated record. NCBI's taxonomy places the organism in Eukaryota, Viridiplantae, Streptophyta, Magnoliopsida, Ericales, Theaceae.
UUGGCCAAUGCUUGCUAAAGAAAGUUUGAAGGCUUUACGUGGACUUGGUUUGCUUUCUCUGGGAGGAAAAUACCUUCUUCGGAGAGUUUUUGAGGUGGUUGCAGAAGCGAGGAGCUCAGAAGCUUUUGUUGCUCUCUGCCUACUGACAGUUGCUGGGACUUCACUCCUAACCUAGAAGUUGGGUUUCAGUGACACGCUUGGAACAUUUUUGGCUGGGGCAUUAUUAGCAGAAACAAAUUUCCGAACACAGAUUGAAGCUGACAUAAGGCCAUUUAGGGGCUUGCUGCUUGGGUUAUUUUUUGUUACUACUGGCACUUCCAUUGACAUGCAGGUAGU